This 77-nucleotide transfer RNA is filed under the name Verrucomicrobiota bacterium. RNAcentral describes it as "Verrucomicrobia bacterium tRNA-Arg". It matches the Rfam family "tRNA". Rfam says of the family: Transfer RNA (tRNA) molecules are approximately 80 nucleotides in length. Their secondary structure includes four short double-helical elements and three loops (D, anti-codon, and T loops). Lineage: Bacteria; Pseudomonadati; Verrucomicrobiota. The record is from RNAcentral.
GCCCCCGUAGCUCAGUUGGAUAGAGCAUCUGCCUUCUAAGCAGAGGGUCCCGCGUUCGACUCGCGGCGGGGGUACCA